UUGGAUGCUGCUUAAACAAUCCAUUUCCUCUCCCCAGCUGCAUCUCUCUCCCUGUCUCUCCAACUGAAGGGCUUUUUCAUAGUCCUCUGUUUCAAGUUCAACCACACCAGUGAGAAUGUUACUGCUGCAGGUUCUUAUUGUGACUUCAACAUGGUCUUGUGGAUAUUCGCAAAUAACUCUGAUACAAACUCCAUUGUCUGUCACCAGAGCAGAAACUAGAAGUGCAUAUAUGUGGUGUAAAAUUUCUGGCGAAGGUUUUAAUUUUAACAGUGCUUAUAUACACUGGUAUCGACAGAGCCAUCAGGCAGCUUCAAAGAGGAUUCUGUAUAUUAGAUCAGGAUCAGUUUCUGUGGAUGAAGGCUUUGACAGAGAAAAGUUUAAAGUUGGUAAUGAUGUUUCUGGGUCCACCUCUAAUCUCAGAGUAGACCAACUAACCCAAGAGGAUGCUACAGCCUAUUAUUGUGCCAUGUGGGAUCGCACAUUACGAGAAACCCAUAGACAACCCAUACAGAAACCCACUCUGCAUUCUGAGCUACAGCCUUUCAAGUGUAUGAAGCCAGACACAUCCCUUAUCCUUCCUCUCAACUUGGAACCAACAGCACAAACUCCUGACUGGUUUCUGCAACAUGACAGGAAGAAAACCAGCACAGAACUUCAGUUUUGA
This is a non-coding RNA of Dermochelys coriacea (leatherback sea turtle), 664 nucleotides long. The record is from the annotation of a RefSeq genome assembly. NCBI's taxonomy places the organism in Eukaryota, Metazoa, Chordata, Testudines, Dermochelyidae.